RNAcentral lists this ribosomal RNA (382 nucleotides) under uncultured eukaryote. Its description in RNAcentral is "partial 18S ribosomal RNA". It matches the Rfam family "Eukaryotic small subunit ribosomal RNA", at positions 592 to 975 of the family's 1831-position model. The record is from RNAcentral.
CAAUAGCGUAUAUUAAAGUUGUUGCAGUUAAAAAGCUCGUAGUUGGAUUUCUGGUGGGAGCGAUCGGUCUGGCGCUUAGCGCGAGUACUUGCAUCGUCUCCGGCCAUCCUUGGGGAGAGUCUGUCUGGCAUUAGGUUGUCGGGCAGAGGAUCCUCAUCGUUUACUGUGAAAAAAUUAGAGUGUUCAAAGCAGGCUUAUGCUGUUGAAUAUAUUAGCAUGGAAUAAUAAGAUAGGACUUUGGUACUAUUUUGUUGGUUUGCGCACCAAAGUAAUGAUUAAUAGGGACAGUUGGGGGUAUUCGUAUUCCGUUGUCAGAGGUGAAAUUCUUGGAUUUACGGAAGACGAACUACUGCGAAAGCAUUUACCAAGGAUGUUUUCAUUA